RNAcentral lists this ribosomal RNA (553 nucleotides) under Penicillium sp. Its description in RNAcentral is "eukaryotic LSU rRNA". The stretch from base 207 to 360 matches the Rfam family "5.8S ribosomal RNA". The record is from RNAcentral. Lineage: Eukaryota; Fungi; Ascomycota; Eurotiomycetes; Eurotiales; Aspergillaceae.
UUUCCGUAGGUGAACCUGCGGAAGGAUCAUUACCGAGUGAGGGCCCUCUGGGUCCAACCUCCCACCCGUGUUUAUUGUACCUUGUUGCUUCGGCGGGCCCGCCUCCCGGCCGCCGGGGGGCUUCUGCCCUCUGGCCCGCGCCCGCCGAAGACACCAUUGAACACUGUCUGAAGAUUGCAGUCUGAGCAAUUAGCUAAAUAAGUUAAAACUUUCAACAACGGAUCUCUUGGUUCCGGCAUCGAUGAAGAACGCAGCGAAAUGCGAUACGUAAUGUGAAUUGCAGAAUUCAGUGAAUCAUCGAGUCUUUGAACGCACAUUGCGCCCCUUGGUAUUCCGGGGGGCAUGCCUGUCCGAGCGUCAUUGCUGCCCUCAAGCACGGCUUGUGUGUUGGGCCCCGUCCUCCUUCCCGGGGGACGGGCCCGAAAGGCAGCGGCGGCACCGCGUCCGGUCCUCGAGCGUAUGGGGCUUUGUCACCCGCUCUUGUAGGCCCGGCCGGCGCUUGCCGACAACCAUCAAUCUUUUUUCAGGUGACUCGGAUCAGGUAGGGAUACCC